CCUACGGGUGGCAGCAGUGAGGAAUAUUGGUCAAUGGACGAAACUCUGACCCAGCAACGCCGCGUGAAGGAAGAAGGUUUUCGGAUUGUAAACUUCUGAUCUGUGGGACGAAGAAAGUGACGGUACCACAGGAGAAAGCGACGGCUAACUACGAGCCAGCAGCCGCGGUAAUACGUAGGCGGCGAGCGUUGUCCGGAAUAACUGGGCGUAAGGGGAGCGUGGGUGGUUGAUUAAGUUAAAUGUGAAAGCCCAGGGCUCAACUCUUGAACUGCAUUUAAUACUGGUCGGCUAGAGAACAGGAGGGGUAGACGGAAUUUCUAGUGUAGCGGUGAAAUGCGUAGAUAUUAGGAAGAACACCGAUGGCGAAGGCGGUUGACUGGACUGCAACUGACACUGAGGCUCGAAAGCGUGGGUAGCAAACAGGAUUAGAUACCCCUGUAGUC
RNAcentral lists this ribosomal RNA (443 nucleotides) under uncultured bacterium. RNAcentral's name for it is "partial 16S ribosomal RNA". It matches the Rfam family "Bacterial small subunit ribosomal RNA", at positions 338 to 795 of the family's 1533-position model. The record is from RNAcentral.